Long non-coding RNA from Hylaeus anthracinus, 1916 nucleotides. RefSeq lists it as uncharacterized. The record is from RefSeq and is a predicted model, not a curated record. The transcript is spliced from 2 exons. NCBI's taxonomy places the organism in Eukaryota, Metazoa, Arthropoda, Insecta, Hymenoptera, Colletidae.
AGUCGCGUUUCCUCGUUUAAGAAGAUAAGCACGAUAAAAGAGGCUUGCCGAUAAAUGUCGAUUAAAUAAAAAUAUAUAUCAAACGCUAGUGAAACAAAUUUUACGAUAAGCAACUGCCGAUAGGAUACAGUGCGACAUAAAUUAACGAAGGAAUAACGCGCAUUGUCUGUUCACGUUUUCAUUCUAAAUGUAUAUCUUGAAAUGAACCGAUCCCACUACACGAUCAUCGUUACACACGAAAGGCUGUACCGACGAAGGAUUCUUCUUCUUCCCGCAACGCUAAAUCGAUAAAGAAGUUUGUGGGACCAUUUACCCAACGAGGGCAACGAUAACAUGUACGCACACUUGGAAAAACAGACCAUGCGGAUAGAAAUUCUAAAUAUAGAAAAUACAAAUAAUUUGUGCGAUAAGAUAACAAUUAAUCAUAUGUCUCAGGAAGUUCGUAUCGUCGAUAAACGCAAGAUUAUCAAAAGAAGGAAACUGCCUUAUCGCUUGUUCGUAACUUAAUUAAGAUUUCGAUAAUAAAUAAACGAAACGAUACCUUUUCCUUUUAUUUUGUUGUCUACGAAUCUUACUCCUUCUAGCUCCUUCUAGCUUACGUACACAACGAUAUAACGUUAUCGUCCGUGAAAUAAGGCGAUAUCUACUUUAACGUAUAUCGAUAAAUAAGCUAUGAUAGUAGAUUACAAUUCCUUCGCGAAGAGUUAUGUAAAACCACGAACUUGAAAAAGUUCUUUAUGUGUUAAAAUUUAAUUGAUCGCAUUUUUACCUCAUAGAGUAUAGGCCUACCUCUAGUUUCGAGGGCGAACCUUCUUACCAUUUCGUUGUCACUUUCAACGUUAUCGAGUGAGGCGGAAAUAAAAUAUUAGCGCUAAUCUGAGCAAAAUAAAAACUAAAAAAAAAAAUGUCAAAAUGAAUUGUUUUAUGAAUUUAGGUACAGAUCAUAAGCUCCAUUUAUUGAAAAGGAAGUACGAAAAUUGUUAAUAUUUUUAUCAUACGAAUUAGAUCAAUUUAAAAAUAUUGGAUUUAUUCUUGUAUCUUAGGACUAAAGAAUAUCGUAAGAUAAUCGCUAAUCUUAAUUCAUCCUGGAUCGAUAAGAUAACAUUUUAUAUCGAAAUUCAUAUAACAUAUUUUUCCGCCGGAUGUUGGAUUCCCAACUCAAUUAUAACGUUACCGAAUAGGAUGUUACAAGCAAAAUAUUAAUCAACCAUAUAUCAACCCUGUAAGGUGUCCGCAAUACAAAAUAUAAUAAUAUUCGACGAAUUCGUCGUAUCUUAAAAAUAAUUGACGUAAUAAUCAAGUAGAAACCGCAUUGUGCGUGACCAGGAUAUGAAUUGUAACCGCAAAUUACUGCGAUCAAGACGGAAAAGGGGAGGGAAAUCGUAUUAAAAGGGGACUACACCUCCUGUGUUUUCAUUGUACCGUGCGUCAGUAACUAAUUUCUACUUGGACACCGUCGAUCUGUUGCGUAGAACUCAAGGGAGUCUAACAAGAAGGGACGAGAAACUCUAAAAAUCAUUUCAGAUUUCUACGCGCGCAAUGGCACCGCUUCGUUUCGUUAUCCUCGCUCUUAUCCUAAUGGUUAUAAGCAUGGGAGGUGAAUCGAGACCACUGACGUUUCCAGAAAGAAAGCAGACAGGAAAACAUUGUCCUCCUGGAUACAAAUUGGUUCGUAAUUUGGGAUGCAGAAAAAUCGUACCGAGAAAAUCGUAACACAAGUGAACCUUGGUAACCAAGAUCUACGCAGUACCAUGAAAGAUAAUCAUUUACGUUCUAAGCAUAAAGCGUUGAUCUGCGACAUUUUCACCCAAUAUCUGAUAUCGUAGAACACGCGUUUAACGUACAGUUUAUUUUUUUCAAUUGUGAAUGUCUACGUUAUGGUACGUGUAAAAUAAAUCACAGUUUAUCAAAAACAA